CUGGCGGUGUGCCUAAGGUAUGCAAGUCGAACGGUCCUUAUGAUUUAUCAUUUGGACAGUGGCAGACUGGUGAGUAACGCGUGGAUAAUCUGCCCCGAAGAUGAGGAUAGCUCGCCGAAAGGUGAGGUAAUCCUCAAUGGUGUGGGAAGUACAUAUGUACAUCCCACUAAAGCUUUAGCGCUUCGGGAUGAGUCUGCGUCCUAUCAGCUUGUUGGUAGAGUAAAGGUCUACCAAGGCUAAGACGGGUAACUGGUCUGAGAGGAUGGUCAGUCACAGUGGCACUGAAACACGGGCCACACUCCUACGGGAGGCAGCAAUUAGGAAUCUUGCACAAUGGAGGAAACUCUGAUGCAGCGACACCGCGUGAAGGAUGAAGACCCUCGGGUUGUAAACUUCUUUUAUAAUCUAACAAGUUCUGAGUGGAGUAUGAAUAAGCACCUGCUAACUGCGUGCCAGAAGCAUCGGUGAAGCGUGGGGUGCGAGCGUUAUCCGGAUUUAUUGGGCGUAAAGAGAUGCGUAGGCGUUUUGGUAAGUCUUCUGUCAAAGCCUUCGGCCUAACCGAAGAAAGGCAGAGGAUACUAUCAGAAUUGAGACAGAGAGGGGGAAGUGGAAUUCCCGGUGGAGCGGUGAAAUGCGUUGAUAUCGGGAGGAACACCAGUGGCGAAGGCAACUUCCUGGCUCUGUUCUGACGCUGAGGCUCGAAAGCGUGGAGAGCAAAGCGGAUUAGAUACCCGUGUAGUCCAUGCUGUAAACGUUGGAUACUGGACGUUUGGUUC
Molecule: ribosomal RNA, 776 nt
Filed under: uncultured organism
Description: bacterial SSU rRNA
Rfam family: Bacterial small subunit ribosomal RNA
Source: RNAcentral